AAGCACGGACCAAGGAGUUCAGCGUGUACGCGAGUCAUUGGGUGAUAAAACCCAAAGGCGUAAUGAAAGUGAAGGGAACUUUACGUUUCUGAGGGAGGAUGAGUCGGUUACCCGCAAGGGGCUGCUCCGCACUCCCGGGGCGUCUCUUUCUCAUUGCGAGUGGAGGCGCACCCAGAGCGUACACGCUGAUACCCGAAAGAUGGUGAACUAUGCCUGGCCAGGACGAAGCCAGGGGAAACCCUGGUGGAGGUCCGCAGCGAUUCUGACGUGCAAAUCGAUCGUCGGAGCUGGGUAUAGGGGCGAAAGACCAAUCGAACCAUCUAGUAGCUGGUUCCCUCCGAAGUUUCCCUCAGGAUAGCUUGCGCUCAUGUGAAAGAGUCUCAUCCGGUAGAGCGAAUGAUUAGAGGCCUUGGGGUCGAAACGACCUCAACCUAUUCUCAAACUCCAAAUAGAUGAGAACUCCGGCUUUCUUGAACUUUGUUUUUGAAGCCGGGGGCUCGGAUCAGAGUGCCAAGUGGGCCAAUUUUGGUAAGCAGAACUGGCGCUGUGGGAUGAACCAAACGUCGAGUUAAGGCGCCCAAAUCGACGCUCAUGUGAAACCAUGAAAGGCGUUGGUUGCUUAAGACAGCAGGACGGUGGCCAUGGAAGUCGGAAUCCGCUAAGGAGUGUGUAACAACUCACCUGCCGAAGCAACUAGCCCUGAAAAUGGAUGGCGCUGUAGCGUCGUGCCUAUACUCGACCGUCAACGGCAAAGAUGGCUGGCGGGCAACCGUCGGCCGUUACGCCUUGACGAGUAGGAGGGCCGCGGCGGCGUGCGUAGAAGGGUCUGGGCGUGAGCCUGCCUGGAGCCGCCGUCGGUGCAGAUCUUGGUGGUAGUAGCAAAUACUCCAGCGAGGCCCUGGAGGACUGAUGUGGAGAAGGGUUUCUUGUGAACAGCUGUUGCACAAGAGUCAGUCGGUCCUAAGCCCUAGGAGAAAUCCGAAGCGAUGGGUUGCCGUUAAUUAUCAUAUACGAUUAUGGAGGCACCCGUUUGGGCGAAAGGGAAUCCGGUUCCUAUUCCGGAACCUGGCAGUGGAACCGUUCCAAUUCGGGCCCUCUGAGGACUCGUCAGGGCAACCUGAAUAGACCCGGAGACGCCGACAGGAGGUUGGGGGAGAGUUGUCUCUUCUCUAUAAGCGAUCGAGUUCCCUGGAAACUUCUAGCAAGGAGAUAGGGUUUGGAUCGCGAAGAGCACUGCAGUUACGGCAGUGUCCCAAUCUUCCUCUCGGACCUUGAAAAUCCGGGUGAGGGCCACGAGGAACCCCACGCCAGACCGUACCCAUAUCCGCAGCAGGUCUCCAAGGUGCAAAGCCUCUAGUCGAUAGAAUAAUGUAGGAAAAGGGAAGUU
RNAcentral lists this ribosomal RNA (1387 nucleotides) under Austroplagiognathus parallelus. Its description in RNAcentral is "partial large subunit ribosomal RNA". It matches the Rfam family "Eukaryotic large subunit ribosomal RNA", at positions 657 to 1915 of the family's 3401-position model. The record is from RNAcentral. Lineage: Eukaryota; Metazoa; Arthropoda; Insecta; Hemiptera; Miridae.